CGAGCGGACAGAUGGGAGCUUGCUCCCUGAUGUUAGCGGCGGACGGGUGAGUAACACGUGGGUAACCUGCCUGUAAGACUGGGAUAACUCCGGGAAACCGGGGCUAAUACCGGAUGCUUGAUUGAACCGCAUGGUUCAAUUAUAAAAGGUGGCUUUUAGCUACCACUUACAGAUGGACCCGCGGCGCAUUAGCUAGUUGGUGAGGUAACGGCUCACCAAGGCAACGAUGCGUAGCCGACCUGAGAGGGUGAUCGGCCACACUGGGACUGAGACACGGCCCAGACUCCUACGGGAGGCAGCAAUAGGGAAUCUUCCGCAAUGGACUAACGUCUGACGGAGCAGGGUGCGGUGAGUGAUGAACGUUUUCCGAUCUUAAAACUCUGUUGUUAGGGAUGAACCUGUACCGUUCGAAUACCGGGGCACCAUGAGGGUACCUUAUCUGAAAG
This 446-nucleotide ribosomal RNA is filed under the name Bacillus sp. CEFR19. RNAcentral describes it as "bacterial SSU rRNA". It matches the Rfam family "Bacterial small subunit ribosomal RNA", at positions 63 to 490 of the family's 1533-position model. The record is from RNAcentral. Lineage: Bacteria; Bacillati; Bacillota; Bacilli; Caryophanales; Bacillaceae.